GAUGAAGAACGUAGUGAAAUGCGAUAAGUAAUGUGAAUUGCAGAAUUCAGUGAAUCAUCGAAUCUUUGAACGCACAUUGCGCCCGCCAGUAUUCUGGCGGGCAUGCCUGUCUGAGCGUCAUUUCAACCCUCAUGCCCCUAGGGCGUGGUGUUGGGGAUCGGCCAAAGCCCGCGAGGGACGGCCGGCCCCUAAAUCUAGUGGCGGACCCGUCGUGGCCUCCUCUGCGAAGUAGUGAUAUUCCGCAUCGGAGAGCGACGAGCCCCUGCCGUUAAACCCCCAACUUUCCAAGGUUGACCUCAGAUCAGGUAGGAAUACCCGCUGAACUUAGGCAUAUCAAUAAGCGGAGGA
RNAcentral lists this unclassified non-coding RNA (348 nucleotides) under soil metagenome. RNAcentral describes it as "partial contains 5.8S ribosomal RNA, internal transcribed spacer 2, and large subunit ribosomal RNA". The stretch from base 1 to 120 matches the Rfam family "5.8S ribosomal RNA", at positions 35 to 154 of the family's 154-position model. The record is from RNAcentral.